CCUUUGUUGCCAGCGGUCCGGCCGGGAACUCAAAGGAGACUGCCAGUGAUAAACUGGAGGAAGGUGGGGAUGACGUCAAGUCAUCAUGGCCCUUACGACCAGGGCUACACACGUGCUACAAUGGCAUAUACAAAGAGAAGCGACCUCGCGAGAGCAAGCGGACCUCAUAAAGUAUGUCGUAGUCCGGAUUGGAGUCUGCAACUCGACUCCAUGAAGUCGGAAUCGCUAGUAAUCGUAGAUCAGAAUGCUACGGUGAAUACGUUCCCGGGCCUUGUACACACCGCCCGUCACACCAUGGGAGUGGGUUGCAAAAGAAGUAGGUAGCUUAACCUUCGGGAGGGCGCUUACCACUUUGUGAUUCAUGACUGGGGUGAAGUCGUAACAAGGUAACCGUAGGGGAACCUGCGGUUGGAUCACCUCCUUA
RNAcentral lists this ribosomal RNA (424 nucleotides) under Klebsiella pneumoniae. RNAcentral's name for it is "bacterial SSU rRNA". It matches the Rfam family "Bacterial small subunit ribosomal RNA", at positions 1109 to 1533 of the family's 1533-position model. The record is from RNAcentral. Lineage: Bacteria; Pseudomonadati; Pseudomonadota; Gammaproteobacteria; Enterobacterales; Enterobacteriaceae.